This 215-nucleotide long non-coding RNA is filed under the name Lathyrus oleraceus (garden pea). Its description in RNAcentral is "Pisum sativum (pea) long non-coding RNA (PSAT_LNC027997)". Lineage: Eukaryota; Viridiplantae; Streptophyta; Magnoliopsida; Fabales; Fabaceae. The record is from RNAcentral.
AUUAUAGAGUUUCAGAAGAACUUAUCAAACAUUUUCGAAAGAUAGUAAAAUAAUAAUUUAUUAUAUUAUUUCUCAAGAACUUAUCAAACAUCCCCGAAGAAUAGCAAAAUAAUAAUUUAUAUAAUUCUUGAAGAACUUAUAAAGCAUCUUCGGUGGAUUUCACGAAAAAUAUUUAUAUUUAUCGAAGAUCUAUGAUCUAGCUCCCAAAAAAAAAU